GACGAACGCUGGCGACGUGCCUAAUGCAUGCAAGUCGCGCGGUGGUCUUCGGACCGCAGCGGCGCACGGCUGAGGAACACGUACGUACCAACCCACCAGUGGGGGACAACGAUGGGAAACCAUCGCUAAUCCCGCAUACCAUCGCAAGAUGAAAGUCGCAAGACGCUGGUGGCUGGGCGUGCGCCCCAUCAGGUUGUUGGCGGGUAACGGCCCACCAAGCCUUUGACGGGUCGCUGGUCUGAGAGGAUGACCAGCCAGACUGGGACUGAGACACGGCCCAGACUCCUACGGGAGGCAGCAGCAAGGAAUUUUCGGCAAUGGGCGCAAGCCUGACCGAGCAACGCCGCGUGCGGGAUGAC
This 359-nucleotide ribosomal RNA is filed under the name uncultured bacterium. RNAcentral describes it as "bacterial SSU rRNA". It matches the Rfam family "Bacterial small subunit ribosomal RNA", at positions 28 to 412 of the family's 1533-position model. The record is from RNAcentral.